RNAcentral lists this ribosomal RNA (497 nucleotides) under uncultured bacterium. RNAcentral describes it as "partial 16S ribosomal RNA". It matches the Rfam family "Bacterial small subunit ribosomal RNA", at positions 28 to 507 of the family's 1533-position model. The record is from RNAcentral.
GACGAACGCUGGCGGCGUGCCUAAUACAUGCAAGUUGAGCGCUGAAGGUUGGUACUUGUACCGACUGGAUGAGCAGCGAACGGGUGAGUAACGCGUGGGGAAUCUGCCUUUGAGCGGGGGACAACAUUUGGAAACGAAUGCUAAUACCGCAUAAAAACUUUAAACACAAGUUUUAAGUUUGAAAGAUGCAAUUGCAUCACUCAAAGAUGAUCCCGCGUUGUAUUAGCUAGUUGGUGAGGUGAAGGCUCACCAAGGCGAUGAUACAUAGCCGACCUGAGAGGGUGAUCGGCCACAUUGGGACUGAGACACGGCCCAAACUCCUACGGGAGGCAGCAGUAGGGAAUCUUCGGCAAUAGACGAAAGUCUGACCGAGCAACGCCGCGUGAGUGAAGAAGGUUUUCGGAUCGUAAAACUCUGUUGGUAGAGAAGAACGUUGGUGAGAGUGGAAAGCUCAUCAAGUGACGGUAACUACCCAGAAAGGGACGGCUAACUACGUG